Long non-coding RNA from Oncorhynchus gorbuscha (pink salmon), 1016 nucleotides. RefSeq lists it as uncharacterized. Lineage: Eukaryota; Metazoa; Chordata; Actinopteri; Salmoniformes; Salmonidae. The transcript is spliced from 2 exons. The record is from RefSeq and is a predicted model, not a curated record.
UUGAUUUUUAGUGAGAGCCGUCAACAUGUAGCUAGCUCCCCUUCCUCUCCCCUUUUCUGUGUCCCAAAUGUGUCAUUUGCACUCCGACCUGUGAAAGUUUUCGCUAGCUAGCUUUCGCUACUAAAAGGUAGCGAACACUGAGGUAUAAGGGUCAAGGGCGGGGUUUGUUAAAAACAGGACAACGUGCGUGGAUCACUGCUAUGAAGGACCAGGAAACACUGCUCUAUGGCUAGACUACUACAGGGGCAAUGAAUAAGUGUGGUGCCAUGACUACAAUGGUUCAAGCCCAGGAUGACAAAAAGAAAUGGGUAUGAAAUUGAACUGGCAGCUGGAAGGAUCCCUUGUACCAUCUCCUGCCAUUGUGUCCUUAAACACCCCUUCUUGUCACAAGAAGACUCAAGAUCUCUACACCCACACUGCUGUUGUCUCUACUGCAGCACUGUACAUGGAUGGAUUCCUUGUAUUGUACUACACUAUAUUUGGAUACUAUUUAAUUGUGCUAUUGCAAAUUAUUCUGCAUCUUCAGAACAAAAACUUUUAGUUCAUUACUAUGCCUAUUAUUACUGAGUAUUAAUGUGAAUUACUUGUUUAUUGUGAAAGAUUUAGUCUCAAAUGAUCACAAUCACAUUUUAACAUGUUUACUUUGUCAACAAAUGAGAGAGCUGCAAUGAGAGCUACAAUUAUACCUUUGAAGAUGGGUUAAAUGGAAUACUAACUGCAAUCUCACCACUAUCCAGGCCAGGUAGCCCACAUCUUCUGAAGUGUCUGUCUGGCUAGCUCCGCCUCCUCCAUACACUGACUAGGCUACAUGUAACGCCGCUUUUCCAUUUUUCUGAGUAGACUUUGUUUACUUUUCUGCUUGUAACGUGCAUUUGACAUGUUGAGUUCUCUGGGGGAGAUAGCCAUCCCCCCCGGAUGUAGAGUGGGGACAGGCGUUUUAGUUUGUUAUUAUUAGUUUGUUAUUGUUUACAUUCCAAAAAAAAAGGUCUAUACCUAAAAUAUACCUCAUGACUAUA